This 497-nucleotide ribosomal RNA is filed under the name uncultured bacterium. RNAcentral describes it as "partial 16S ribosomal RNA". It matches the Rfam family "Bacterial small subunit ribosomal RNA", at positions 28 to 507 of the family's 1533-position model. The record is from RNAcentral.
GAUGAACGCUGGCGGCGUGCCUAAUACAUGCAAGUCGAGCGAACAGACGAGGAGCUUGCUCCUCUGACGUUAGUGGCGGACGGGUGAGUAACGCGUGGAUAACCUACCUAUAAGCCUGGGAUCACUUCGGGAAACCGGAGCUAAUACCGGAUAAUAUAUUGCACCGCAUGGUUCAUUAGUGAAAGUCGGCUUUGCUGUCACUUCUAGAUGGUUACGCGCCGCUUGAGCUAGUUGGUAAGGUAACGGCUUACCAAGGGAACGAUGCGUGGCCGACUUAAGAGGGUGAUCGCCCACACGGGAACGGGAACAGGGUCCAGACUCCUACGGGAGGCAGCAGUAGGGAACCUUCGGCAAUGGGGGAAAGCCUGACGGAGCAGCGCCGCGUGAGUGAUGAAGGUCUUCGGUUCGUAAAGCUGGGUUAUUGGGGAAAAACAAAUGUGGAAUGAACUGUGCACGUCGUGACGGUACCUAAUCAGAAAGCCACGGCUAACUACGUG